Molecule: small nuclear RNA, 99 nt
Filed under: Erinaceus europaeus (western European hedgehog)
Lineage: Eukaryota; Metazoa; Chordata; Mammalia; Eulipotyphla; Erinaceidae
Source: RNAcentral
GUGCUUGCUUCGGCAGCACAUAUACUAAAAUUGAAAUGAUACAGAGAAGAUUAGCAUGGCCCCUGCACAAGGAUGAUAAAGGAUGAUACGCAAAUUCUU